This is a non-coding RNA of Polyporus arcularius HHB13444, 84 nucleotides long. The record is from the annotation of a GenBank genome assembly. NCBI's taxonomy places the organism in Eukaryota, Fungi, Basidiomycota, Agaricomycetes, Polyporales, Polyporaceae.
UCUCUGGUAGUAUAUCGGUUAGUACACGCGCCUGUCAUGCAUUGGUGGUCGCGCGAAAGCGGGGUUCGACUCCCCGCCAGAGAG